AGGAAGGUGGAUGUGGGACUGGGAGUGUUGUCGUGACUUGUGACUUUCCUUGCAUACCAAGGAUUUCCAUAUUAAUUGUAAUUAAUUUCCCUUAUAUGUGGGUGUUUACUGGCAAGCAAUAUAUAUAAUAUAAGUUGGGGGUGUGGGAUUGAGAAAGGAGGAGGGAAACUUAUACCUGGCUAUCAUAAAAAAUGGUUCCCAAGGCCAAUGCUGUUUACAUGAGUCUCUUCAUCCUAUUGCUGUUGUUCUCAUCCAAAGUUGUGUUUGCCGGAGUUUCCCAAUUUUCAGAAACCAAAGAGAAGAUCGAUACGGAGUUUUCGAGGAUGAAGAUUGUUAACCAUGAAACGUCCAUAGACCCAGGUACAAAGCCGCCCGGCGCUGGAAGGGGUUGAGUGUGCGGACUGUACCACCAACAACAAUAUAUAACUGUUCUUUACCAAUCAUAAACUGGAACGGAAAUAGGGGUGAUUUGGUGCUUAUGGAAAUAUGGAUCUUGUUGAUCGACCUUGAAGGGAGUAUAAUCUUAGGUCAUCUUAUAGUUCUCUGUAUGGUUGUUCUUUUAGGCUGUAUAAGUUUUUUGCCUCUCCUUUCUUUAUUGGCCAUGGCCACUUUACUUGCUUACAUAUUCUAUGAUCAUGCAAAAACACAGCACAACAAAAACACAUGUUUUAGUACUUUUCCAUAUAUUUCAAAUGUCCAAGCAAUUUGUUGAAUGACUGAAUAUUCAUCAAUCAAAGUCAUUGAACGAGAUUGCUAGUUUAUGAAUUCUAA
Molecule: non-coding RNA, 771 nt
Organism: Prunus avium (sweet cherry)
Lineage: Eukaryota; Viridiplantae; Streptophyta; Magnoliopsida; Rosales; Rosaceae
Source: RefSeq, a predicted model, not a curated record